Molecule: ribosomal RNA, 163 nt
Filed under: Rhizopus arrhizus
Lineage: Eukaryota; Fungi; Mucoromycota; Mucoromycetes; Mucorales; Rhizopodaceae
Description: Rhizopus oryzae partial small subunit ribosomal RNA
Source: RNAcentral
UCCUUAUUACCAUGAGCAAAUCAGAGUGUUUAAAGCAGGCUUUUAAGCUUGAAUGUGUUAGCAUGGAAUAAUGAAAUAUGACUUUAGUCCUAUUUUCGAUUGGUUUAGGUACUUCUAGUAGCUCGAUGAUAUAGAUACACUGCUAUGACGCAGAGAUGCCUGC